Molecule: RNase P RNA, 386 nt
Filed under: Acidobacteriota bacterium
Lineage: Bacteria; Pseudomonadati; Acidobacteriota
Description: RNase P RNA component class A
Rfam family: Bacterial RNase P class A
About the family: Ribonuclease P (RNase P) is a ubiquitous endoribonuclease, found in archaea, bacteria and eukarya as well as chloroplasts and mitochondria. Its best characterised activity is the generation of mature 5'-ends of tRNAs by cleaving the 5'-leader elements of precursor-tRNAs.
Source: RNAcentral
CCACGAGGCAGGGGAACCGCUGCCGAGUACUUCGGUGCUUACGGUAGAGGAAAGUCGGGACUCCACGGGCCGCGUGCUGGGUAACGCCCAGUGGGGGAAACCCCAGGCAAGUGCCACAGAAACAAUACCGCCGUUCGUAAAGGCAGUCGUUCGCGGCCGCUGAACGGUAAGGGUGGAACGGUGGGGUAAGAGCCCACCAGUGUCGGCGGUGACGCCGGCAGCUCGGUAAACCCCACGUGGAGCAAGGCCAAAUAGGGGAAUUCGGGGAGGCCCGCCCCGUCCCUGGGUAGGCCGCAUGAGGCGACGGGUAACCGCCGUCCCAGAUGCAUGGUUCCCACUCCGGUUCGCCGGGGCAACAGGAUCCCGCUUACUCGCCUCGUGGACCG